UGCUACUGUGUUGUUGACAAAGAUGGCGGGUACAGCAUAUCAUUUGGAAGCUCUUCGUCAACAAAGAGUUAUAGAUAGAAGGCAUGAAGCGAUGCAAAGGAUGGGCGGUCAGAGUAAUGCUGCAAUGAAACUCAGAGCAUUUGAGCAAGAAAGAAACAAUUUUGAACAGCGCAUGCAUGAUCAUUAUGCCAGCAGAAGAAACCUCGGAACUUACAAUUCUGGUUAUGUGUACCAACAAAACGGAGGCCCCAACCUUCACCCGGACAAGAUCUACCCUGUCAUGUACCCCUGGGACCAGUACAGACGCCAUCUUUCGGUGCAUCUCGACCCCAUUUAUACCAUCAUGUACCCGCGUCAUGAACACAGACACCAACACACAGCGCUCAACAUGGGCAUCCCACAUUAUCUGUUAGAGUGAACAAAAAACAAAGAACUCCCUGCAACAAAAUGUGCAAUGUUGAUGCUGUUCUAAUGAUGUGACAUGUGUUUGAUUGGCUUUGAUCUAUGUAUAGAUAUAUAAUAUAUAUAUAUAAUAUAUAAUAACCAAGCAUGACUGCAAUAUUGAACUGCUGUGACAUGUGCUGUGCUAUUACUACCAUGUUUUGAUUCCUGACAGUGUGACUGCUGCUUAUCAACAUAUGUACAUACAGGGCUAGAUGUUGUGACCCAACAGAACCAGAUCCCCAGUUAACCAGGAAAAAGAAAAGCAGAAUCUAUUAGAUCACAAACUUAUAAUUCACAAGUCAGCUUCGCAUGCACAUCGUCCUCCUCCUCAACCAACAUCCUAUGAAAGGGAACUUCUUGCCGAGAAAAAGAGGCGGCGAAGACCGAGAUCACUCUCAAGUGUGGGGCCGCCAGAGACUGAGUUUUAUUUCAAAUAUGAAUAGUGAACUCUUAAUUCAGUACACAUAGACUACUCACAAUGGGAAAACCAACCAAGACUUCACAGCCCUUUAUUUAUGAAUUUUUUACUAUCAGGACAAGGAAAUCUCAGACCCUGAGCUACAUGGCGAUGAAGUACAUGUAUCUUAUUUCUCAAAGAUGACUUUGUAAUAUUCUGAAGUGCCAAUUAUGUUUCCCUGUGUACACGUAGCUGUCAAGAAGUGUUUCAGUCGAGUUCAGUGAAGGAUGCUGAUACAUAAGUGCUCUACUGAAUCUUAUUGAACACGCAAUGAAGACGUCAAUACCUUGAACAGUCUGUGACACAAUAUUUUGGGGAUAUACUUUGUUUAUAAGAUGAAUCAUCAUGUGAAAUUUUAAUCUGAAAUUGCUCAAUAAUAUUGUAUUUAUCAUAUCAUUUAUUGCUAUUUUGAAAA
Lingula anatina is the source of this 1316-nucleotide RNA transcript. RefSeq lists it as uncharacterized. NCBI's taxonomy places the organism in Eukaryota, Metazoa, Brachiopoda, Lingulata, Lingulida, Lingulidae. The record is from RefSeq and is a predicted model, not a curated record.